UAGGGAAUAUUGGACAAUGGGGGCAACCCUGAUCCAGCCAUGCCGCGUGAGUGAAGAAGGCCCUCGGGUUGUAAAGCUCUUUUGUCCGGAAAGAAAAGCUUCGGGUUAAUACCCCGGGGUUCUGACGGUACCGGAAGAAUAAGCUCCGGCUAACUUCGUGCCAGCAGCCGCGGUAAUACGAAGGGAGCUAGCGUUGUUCGGAAUUACUGGGCGUAAAGGGCGCGUAGGCGGUUUUGUAAGUCAGAUGUGAAAGCCCCGGGCUUAACCUGGGAACUGCAUUUGAGACUGCAAGACUAGAGAUCGAGAGAGGAAAGUGGAAUUACGAGUGUAGAAGUGAAAUUCGUAGAUAUUCGUAGGAACACCGGUGGCGAAGGCGACUUUCUGGCUCGACCCUGACGCUAAAGCGCGAAAGCGUGGGGAGCAAACA
RNAcentral lists this ribosomal RNA (427 nucleotides) under uncultured bacterium. Its description in RNAcentral is "bacterial SSU rRNA". It matches the Rfam family "Bacterial small subunit ribosomal RNA", at positions 355 to 774 of the family's 1533-position model. The record is from RNAcentral.